CCUACGGGGGGCAGCAGUGGGGAAUAUUGCACAAUGGGCGAAAGCCUGAUGCAGCAACGCCGCGUGAAGGAAGAAGGGUUUCGGCUCGUAAACUUCUAUCAACAGGGACGAAAGAAAUGACGGUACCUGAAUAAGAAGCCCCGGCUAACUACGUGCCAGCCGCCGCGGUAAAACGUCGGGGGCAAGCGUUCUCCGGAAUUACUGGGUGUAAAGGGUGAGUAGGCGGCAUGGUACGGCAGAAGUGAAAGCCCUGGGGUUAACCCGAGGAUUGUAUUUGCAACUAUCAAGCUAGAGUACAGGAGAGGAAAGCGGAAUGCCUAGUGUAGCGGUGAAAUGCGUAGAUAUUAGGAAGAACACCAGUGGCGAAGGCGGCUUUCUGGACUGAAACUGACGCUGAGGCACGAAAGCGUGGGGAGCGAACAGGAUUAGAUACCCCGGUAGUC
RNAcentral lists this ribosomal RNA (443 nucleotides) under uncultured bacterium. RNAcentral describes it as "partial 16S ribosomal RNA". It matches the Rfam family "Bacterial small subunit ribosomal RNA", at positions 338 to 795 of the family's 1533-position model. The record is from RNAcentral.